GGGGGGGGGGGGGGGGGGGGCGGGCGCGGGCGGGGCGGGCGGGGGCGGCGGGUCGGGGGGCGCAGGGGUGCGGGGCGCGUGGGAGCCGGCCCUUAGGGUCGGCAUAGCUCCCCGAGAGGGGGUCUAAUACCGGAUAAUGUCUUCGGACCAAAGAGGUAUCGCCUUGGGAUGGGCCCGCGUUGGAUUAGCUAGUUGGUAGGGUAAAAGCCUACCAAGGCGACGAUCCAUAUCUGGUCUGAGAGGAUGAUCAGCCACACUGGGACUGAGACACGGCCCAGACUCCUACGGGAGGCAGCAGUGGGGAAUAUUGGACAAUGGGCGAAAGCCUGAUCCAGCAAUGCCGCGUGAGUGAUGAAGGCCUUAGGGUUGUAAAGCUCUUUUACCCGGGAUGAUAAUGACAGUACCGGGAGAAUAAGCUCCGGCUAACUCCGUG
RNAcentral lists this ribosomal RNA (433 nucleotides) under uncultured bacterium. Its description in RNAcentral is "partial 16S ribosomal RNA". It matches the Rfam family "Bacterial small subunit ribosomal RNA", at positions 27 to 507 of the family's 1533-position model. The record is from RNAcentral.